UGUGAAAUAACCAAAGACAACAUGUGAUUGAGAGCAGCUAACAGCAGUGGUCUGGCACCCAGAGAGGUUUAAAGACAGUCUCCAUAGUGCUGUGGUCUUACAGGUGAAACACAAAUGGUGGGCACAGGGCUCACUGACACCUGACUGAUGCCCAGGAGAAGCCUAAAAUCUGUGCUAGAUGACAAAUAAACGGGAACAUAUUUCCCUGGGUAGUUUCCUAAACAAGUGCAGCAUCAGUAGUCACACAUGAUUGAGAAGCUACCAUGUUUAGUGGAAGGAGCCUCCUUGCAGGGGUGAAGCUUCCCGGUGGACAUGUGUGCUCUGCCACGGCCUGAGUACUUCCCUGCAGCAGCCCUUGGAUCAGAAAUAUGGACU
Long non-coding RNA from Cygnus olor (mute swan), 375 nucleotides. RefSeq lists it as uncharacterized. NCBI's taxonomy places the organism in Eukaryota, Metazoa, Chordata, Aves, Anseriformes, Anatidae. The record is from RefSeq and is a predicted model, not a curated record. The transcript has 4 exons.